RNAcentral lists this ribosomal RNA (425 nucleotides) under uncultured bacterium. Its description in RNAcentral is "partial 16S ribosomal RNA". It matches the Rfam family "Bacterial small subunit ribosomal RNA", at positions 354 to 796 of the family's 1533-position model. The record is from RNAcentral.
GUGGGGAAUAUUGGACAAUGGGCGAAAGCCUGAUCCAGCCAUGCCGCGUGAGUGAUGAAGGCCUUAGGGUUGUAAAGCUCUUUCGCCGAGGACGAUAAUGACGGUACUCGGAUAAGAAGCCCCGGCUAACUUCGUGCCAGCAGCCGCGGUAAUACGAAGGGGGCUAGCGUUGUUCGGAAUUACUGGGCGUAAAGCGUAUGUAGGCGGGUCGUUAAGUUAGGGGUGAAAUCCCAAGGCUCAACCUUGGAACUGCCUUUGAAACUCCUGUUCUUGAGUUCGAGAGAGGUGAGUGGAAUUCCGAGUGUAGAGGUGAAAUUCGUAGAUAUUCGGAGGAACACCAGUGGCGAAGGCGGCUCACUGGCUCGAUACUGACGCUGAGGUGCGAAAGCGUGGGGAGCAAACAGGAUUAGAUACCCGAGUAGUCC